CACUAAGAAGCUAAAUAGGAAGAGCGUUAGCCUUUUAAGCUAAAGAUUGGUGGCUCCUAACCACCUUUAGUGA
Molecule: transfer RNA, 73 nt
Filed under: Saurida nebulosa (clouded lizardfish)
Lineage: Eukaryota; Metazoa; Chordata; Actinopteri; Aulopiformes; Synodontidae
Description: tRNA-Lys
Rfam family: tRNA
About the family: Transfer RNA (tRNA) molecules are approximately 80 nucleotides in length.
Source: RNAcentral